UGACGGUACCUGACUAAGAAGCUCCGGCUAAAUACGUGCCAGCAGCCGCGGUAAUACGUAUGGAGCAAGCGUUAUCCGGAUUUACUGGGUGUAAAGGGAGCGUAGACGGAUGUGCAAGUCUGAUGUGAAAGGCUGCGGCUUAACUGCAGGACUGCAUUGGAAACUGUACAUCUGGAGUGCCGGAGAGGUAAGCGGAAUUCCUAGUGUAGCGGUGAAAUGCGUAGAUAUUAGGAGGAACACCAGUGGCGAAGGCGGCUUACUGGACGGUAACUGACGUUGAGGCUCGAAAGCGUGGGGGGCAAACAGGAUUAGAUACCCUG
This 320-nucleotide ribosomal RNA is filed under the name uncultured bacterium. RNAcentral's name for it is "bacterial SSU rRNA". It matches the Rfam family "Bacterial small subunit ribosomal RNA", at positions 470 to 789 of the family's 1533-position model. The record is from RNAcentral.